This 697-nucleotide ribosomal RNA is filed under the name Salmonella enterica subsp. enterica. RNAcentral's name for it is "partial 23S ribosomal RNA". It matches the Rfam family "Bacterial large subunit ribosomal RNA", at positions 161 to 897 of the family's 2925-position model. Lineage: Bacteria; Pseudomonadati; Pseudomonadota; Gammaproteobacteria; Enterobacterales; Enterobacteriaceae. The record is from RNAcentral.
AAUCCAUAGGUUAAUGAGGCGAACCGGGGGAACUGAAACAUCUAAGUACCCCGAGGAAAAGAAAUCAACCGAGAUUCCCCCAGUAGCGGCGAGCGAACGGGGAGGAGCCCAGAGCCUGAAUCAGCAUGUGUGUUAGUGGAAGCGUCUGGAAAGGCGCGCGAUACAGGGUGACAGCCCCGUACACAAAAGCGCAUGUGUUGUGAGCUCGAUGAGUAGGGCGGGACACGUGGUAUCCUGUCUGAAUAUGGGGGGACCAUCCUCCAAGGCUAAAUACUCCUGACUGACCGAUAGUGAACCAGUACCGUGAGGGAAAGGCGAAAAGAACCCCGGCGAGGGGAGUGAAAAAGAACCUGAAACCGUGUACGUACAAGCAGUGGGAGCACAGGUUUACCUGUGUGACUGCGUACCUUUUGUAUAAUGGGUCAGCGACUUAUAUUCUGUAGCAAGGUUAACCGUAUAGGGGAGCCGGAGGGAAACCGAGUCUUAAUUGGGCGUUAAGUUGCAGGGUAUAGACCCGAAACCCGGUGAUCUAGCCAUGGGCAGGUUGAAGGUUGGGUAACACUAACUGGAGGACCGAACCGACUAAUGUUGAAAAAUUAGCGGAUGACCUGUGGCUGGGGGUGAAAGGCCAAUCAAACCGGGAGAUAGCUGGUUCUCCCCGAAAGCUAUUUAGGUAGCGCCUCGUGAACUCAUCUCC